GUCGCCAACGAGUGGCGGACGGGUGAGUAACACGUAGGUAACCUGCCCAGAAGCGGGGGACAACAUUUGGAAACAGAUGCUAAUACCGCAUAACAGCGUUGUUCGCAUGAACAACGCUUAAAAGAUGGCUUCUCGCUAUCACUUCUGGAUGGACCUGCGGUGCAUUAGCUUGUUGGUGGGGUAACGGCCUACCAAGGCGAUGAUGCAUAGCCGAGUUGAGAGACUGAUCGGCCACAAUGGGACUGAGACACGGCCCAUACUCCUACGGGAGGCAGCAGUAGGGAAUCUUCCACAAUGGGCGCAAGCCUGAUGGAGCAACACCGCGUGAGUGAAGAAGGGUUUCGGCUCGUAAAGCUCUGUUGUUAAAGAAGAACACGUAUGAGAGUAACUGUUCAUACGUUGACGGUAUUUAACCAGAAAGUCACGGCUAACUACGUGCCAGCAGCCGCGGUAAUACGUAGGUGGCAAGCGUUAUCCGGAUUUAUUGGGCGUAAAGAGAGUGCAGGCGGUUUUCUAAGUCUGAUGUGAAAGCCUUCGGCUUAACCGGAGAAGUGCAUCGGAAACUGGAUAACUUGAGUGCAGAAGAGGGUAGUGGAACUCCAUGUGUAGCGGUGGAAUGCGUAGAUAUAUGGAAGAACACCAGUGGCGAAGGCGGCUACCUGGUCUGCAACUGACGCUGAGACUCGAAAGCAUGGGUAGCGAACAGGAUUAGAUACCCUGGUAGUCCAUGCCGUAAACGAUGAGUGCUAGGUGUUGGAGGGUUUCCGCCCUUCAGUGCCGGAGCUAACGCAUUAAGCACUCCGCCUGGGGAGUACGACCGCAAGGUUGAAACUCAAAGGAAUUGACGGGGGCCCGCACAAGCGGUGGAGCAUGUGGUUUAAUUCGAAGCUACGCGAAGAACCUUACCAGGUCUUGACAUCUUGCGCCAACCCUAGAGAUAGGGCGUUUCCUUCGGGAACGCAAUGACAGGUGGUGCAUGGUCGUCGUCAGCUCGUGUCGUGAGAUGUUGGGUUAAGUCCCGCAACGAGCGCAACCCUUGUUACUAGUUGCCAGCAUUAAGUUGGGCACUCUAGUGAGACUGCCGGUGACAAACCGGAGGAAGGUGGGGACGACGUCAGAUCAUCAUGCCCCUUAUGACCUGGGCUACACACGUGCUACAAUGGACGGUACAACGAGUCGCGAACUCGCGAGGGCAAGCAAAUCUCUUAAAACCGUUCUCAGUUCGGACUGCAGGCUGCAACUCGCCUGCACGAAGUCGGAAUCGCUAGUAAUCGCGGAUCAGCAUGCCGCGGUGAAUACGUUCCCGGGCCUUGUACACACCGCCCGUCACACCAUGAGAGUUUGUAACACCCAAAGUCGGU
This 1361-nucleotide ribosomal RNA is filed under the name Limosilactobacillus fermentum. Its description in RNAcentral is "bacterial SSU rRNA". It matches the Rfam family "Bacterial small subunit ribosomal RNA", at positions 84 to 1431 of the family's 1533-position model. The record is from RNAcentral. Lineage: Bacteria; Bacillati; Bacillota; Bacilli; Lactobacillales; Lactobacillaceae.